AGAGUUUGAUCCUGGCUCAGGACGAACGCUGGCGGCGUGCCUAAUACAUGCAAGUAGAACGCUGAAGAGAGGAGCUUGCUCUUCUUGGAUGAGUUGCGAACGGGUGAGUAACGCGUAGGUAACCUGCCUUGUAGCGGGGGAUAACUAUUGGAAACGAUAGCUAAUACCGCAUAACAAUGGAUGACACAUGUCAUUUAUUUGAAAGGGGCAAUUGCUCCACUACAAGAUGGACCUGCGUUGUAUUAGCUAGUAGGUGAGGUAACGGCUCACCUAGGCGACGAUACAUAGCCGACCUGAGAGGGUGAUCGGCCACACUGGGACUGAGACACGGCCCAGACUCCUACGGGAGGCAGCAGUAGGGAAUCUUCGGCAAUGGGGGCAACCCUGACCGAGCAACGCCGCGUGAGUGAAGAAGGUUUUCGGAUCGUAAAGCUCUGUUGUAAGUCAAGAACGAGUGUGAGAGUGGAAAGUUCACACUGUGACGGUAGCUUACCAGAAAGGGACGGCUAACUACGUGCCAGCAGCCGGCGGUAAACGUAGGUCCCGAGCGUUGUCCGGAUUUAUUGGGCGUAAAGCGAGCGCAGGCGGUUUGAUAAGUCUGAAUUAAAGGCUGUGGCUCAAACCAUAGUUCGCUUUGGAAACUGUCAACUUGAGUGCAGAAGGGGAGAGUGGAAUUCCAUGUGUAGCGGUGAAAUGCGUAGAUAUAUGGAGGAACACCGGUGGCGAAAGCGGCUCUCUGGUCUGUAACUGACGCUGAGGCUCGAAAGCGUGGGGAGCGAACAGGAUUAGAUACCCUGGUAGUCCACGCCGUAAACGAUGAGUGCUAGGUGUUGGAUCCUUUCCGGGGAUUCAGUGCCGCAGCUAACGCAUUAAGCACUCCGCCUGGGGAGUACGACCGCAAAGGUUGAAACUCAAAGGAAUUGACGGGGGCCCGCACAAGCGGUGGAGCAUGUGGUUUAAUUCGAAGCAACGCGAAGAACCUUACCAGGUCUUGACAUCCCGAUGCUAUUUCUAGAGAUAGAAAGUUACUUCGGUACAUCGGUGACAGGUGGUGCAUGGUUGUCGUCAGCUCGUGUCGUGAGAUGUUGGGUUAAGUCCCGCAACGAGCGCAACCCCUAUUGUUAGUUGCCAUCAUUCAGUUGGGCACUCUAGCGAGACUGCCGGUAAUAAACCGGAGGAAGGUGGGGAUGACGUCAAAUCAUCAUGCCCCUUAUGACCUGGGCUACACACGUGCUACAAUGGUUGGUACAACGAGUUGCGAGUCGGUGACGGCAAGCUAAUCUCUUAAAGCCAAUCUCAGUUCGGAUUGUAGGCUGCAACUCGCCUACAUGAAGUCGGAAUCGCUAGUAAUCGCGGAUCAGCACGCCGCGGUGAAUACGUUCCCGGGCCUUGUACACACCGCCCGUCACACCACGAGAGUUUGUAACACCCGAAGUCGGUGAGGUAACCUUUUGGAGCCAGCCGCCUAAGGUGGGAUAGAUGAUUGGGGUGAAGUCGUAACAAGGUAGCCGUAUCGGAAGGUGCGGCUGGAUCACCU
RNAcentral lists this ribosomal RNA (1537 nucleotides) under Streptococcus dysgalactiae. Its description in RNAcentral is "bacterial SSU rRNA". It matches the Rfam family "Bacterial small subunit ribosomal RNA". The record is from RNAcentral. Lineage: Bacteria; Bacillati; Bacillota; Bacilli; Lactobacillales; Streptococcaceae.